GAUGAACGCUGGCGGCGUGCCUAAUACAUGCAAGUCGAGCGAACAGAUGAGGAGCUUGCUCCUCUGACGUUAGCGGCGGACGGGUGAGUAACACGUGGAUAACCUACCUAUAAGACUGGGAUAACUUCGGGAAACCGGAGCUAAUACCGGAUAAUAUAUUGAACCGCAUGGUUCAAUAGUGAAAGACGGUUUUGCUGUCACUUAUAGAUGGAUCCGCGCCGCAUUAGCUAGUUGGUAAGGUAACGGCUUACCAAGGCAACGAUGCGUAGCCGACCUGAGAGGGUGAUCGGCCACACUGGAACUGAGACACGGUCCAGACUCCUACGGGAGGCAGCAGUAGGGAAUCUUCCGCAAAGGGCGAAAGCCUGACGGAGCAACGCCGCGUGAGUGAUGAAGGUCUUCGGAUCGUAAAACUCUGUUAUUAGGGAAGAACAAAUGUGUAAGUAAUUAUGCACGUCUUGACGGUACCUAAUCAGAAAGCCACGGCUAACUACGUG
This 497-nucleotide ribosomal RNA is filed under the name uncultured bacterium. RNAcentral describes it as "partial 16S ribosomal RNA". It matches the Rfam family "Bacterial small subunit ribosomal RNA", at positions 28 to 507 of the family's 1533-position model. The record is from RNAcentral.